UAGGGAAUAUUGCGCAAUGGGGGAAACCCUGACGCAGCGACGCCGCGUGAGUGAUGAAGGACUUCGGUUCGUAAAGCUCUGUCGCAGGGGAAUAAAUUCGAAUGUACCCUGUAAGAAAGGAUCGGCUAACUUCGUGCCAGCAGCCGCGGUAAGACGAGGGAUCCAAGCGUUGUUCGGAAUCAUUGGGCGUAAAGCGGGUGUAGGCGGCUUUAUAAGUCAGAUGUGAAAGCCCUGGGCUCAACCCGGGAAGUGCAUUUGAUACUGUAUAGCUAGAGUAUGGGAGAGGGAAGUGGAAUUUCCGGUGUAGCGGUGAAAUGCGUAGAGAUCGGAAAGAACACUCGUGGCGAAGGCGGCUUUCUGGCCCAUAACUGACGCUGAGGUGCGAAAGCAUGGGGAGCAAACAGGAUUAGAUACCCCCGUAGUCCCUGAGCGGGCUGGCAAGGCGCAU
RNAcentral lists this ribosomal RNA (448 nucleotides) under uncultured bacterium. RNAcentral describes it as "bacterial SSU rRNA". It matches the Rfam family "Bacterial small subunit ribosomal RNA", at positions 355 to 825 of the family's 1533-position model. The record is from RNAcentral.